GGCUCUGUGGUGCAAUGGAUAGCGCAUUGGACUUCUAAUUCAAAGGUUGUGGGUUCGAGUCCCACCAGAGUCG
This 73-nucleotide transfer RNA is filed under the name Danio rerio (zebrafish). RNAcentral describes it as "tRNA-Arg (TCT) (tRNA-Arg-TCT-20 1 to 9)". It matches the Rfam family "tRNA". Rfam says of the family: Transfer RNA (tRNA) molecules are approximately 80 nucleotides in length. Their secondary structure includes four short double-helical elements and three loops (D, anti-codon, and T loops). Lineage: Eukaryota; Metazoa; Chordata; Actinopteri; Cypriniformes; Danionidae. The record is from RNAcentral.